This is a long non-coding RNA of Rhipicephalus sanguineus (brown dog tick), 246 nucleotides long. RefSeq lists it as uncharacterized. The transcript is spliced from 4 exons. The record is from RefSeq and is a predicted model, not a curated record. NCBI's taxonomy places the organism in Eukaryota, Metazoa, Arthropoda, Arachnida, Ixodida, Ixodidae.
AACACAACCGCUGAAGAAAGAAACAAUACGCUGAUGUGCGUCCUCAAAGAAGCAGAUCCGAACGCCAAAAGACUCCAAACAUACAUGAAAAAUUCUGGCACGAACUCUUCAGAGAUCGCGAGUCUAUUGUGCAACAAUACCAAUUUGUUAAAUGAGAAAAUUCUGACAUCUGAGGGCAAAAAUUACACGAGUGAUGAAGAGCCGGACUUACUCGCCGUAUUCAUAAAGUGCGAAACAUCAUCUUAA